RNAcentral lists this ribosomal RNA (492 nucleotides) under uncultured bacterium. RNAcentral describes it as "partial 16S ribosomal RNA". It matches the Rfam family "Bacterial small subunit ribosomal RNA", at positions 29 to 507 of the family's 1533-position model. The record is from RNAcentral.
AUUGAACGCUGGCGGCAUGCUUUACACAUGCAAGUCGAACGGUAACAGGCCUUCGGGUGCUGACGAGUGGCGAACGGGUGCGUAAUGCAUCGGAACGUACCCAGAGGUGGGGGAUAACGCAGCGAAAGCUGUGCUAAUACCGCAUGUGAUCUGAGGAUGAAAGCGGGGGACCGAGCAGCAAUGUUUGGCCUCGCGCCUUUGGAGCGGCCGAUGUCGGAUUAGCUAGUUGGUGGGGUAAAGGCCUACCAAGGCGACGAUCCGUAGCUGGUCUGAGAGGACGACCAGCCAAACUGGGACUGAGACACGGCCCAGACUCCUACGGGAGGCAGCAGUGGGGAAUUUUGGACAAAGGGCGCAAGCCUGAUCCAGCAAUGCCGCGUGCGGGAAGAAGGCCUUCGGGUUGUAAACCGCUUUUGGCAGGAACGAAACGGUGUCCGCUAAUAACGGGCGCUAAUGACGGUACCUGCAGAAUAAGCACCGGCUAACUACGUG